AAUAGAGAUUGUGAGAUAAGAGAGAGAUCGAAGGAUUUUGAAAAUGAAUUUUCAGUUGAUUUUAGUUGGUUUAAAAUGAAAGUUGAUUUUAGAUGAAAGUUGGUUUUUACAUGUGAAGAGCUUGUUGUUUUUCUUUUACUGUUUUACGUUGCUGAUGGAGAAAGAGAACAUGUGCCUUUUUAUUUUAUUUUAUUAAUUUUAUAUCACGCCACAUGUCGAGAGUUGAUUAGUGGAUUUUGAAUUUUGAAAA
RNAcentral lists this long non-coding RNA (250 nucleotides) under Lathyrus oleraceus (garden pea). RNAcentral describes it as "Pisum sativum (pea) long non-coding RNA (PSAT_LNC014629)". The record is from RNAcentral. Lineage: Eukaryota; Viridiplantae; Streptophyta; Magnoliopsida; Fabales; Fabaceae.